AAAGUUUUAUUUAGUCUCCUGAAUUUGCGCCAGGCUGUGACGAAUCGAUGUCUGUCACUCUGUUUAAAUAAAUAAAAAAUUGGAACAUUUAAUUAACUAGGCAAGUCAUUUAAGAACAAAUUCUUAUUUACAAUGACCCCUGCCAAACCCGAACGACGCAGGGCCAAUUGUGCGCCGCCCUAUGGAACUCCCAAUCACGGCUGGAUGUGAUACAGCCUGGAUUCGUAUCAGGGACUGUAGUGGCGCCUCUUGAACUGAGAUGCAGUGCCUUAAACCACUGGGCCACUCUGGAGCCCAUUAAAAAAUAUAUCGACCUCUGUAGGGCAGGCAAAGCCUGUAUCAACAUUAGAAAGAAAAAAAGGAUUCUGUUUGGCCAGUGGCCAUACUAGUGGGUGCAGGAAACUGUCUUUUACCGGAAUAAUUCACUUCCUCAGCUGUAGCAGUUCCACAUUACCUGUGAAACAGGAACAGGACCUGAGCCCUAGGACCUCACCUCAGGACUACCUGGCUUGAUGACUCCUG
Oncorhynchus tshawytscha (Chinook salmon) is the source of this 522-nucleotide long non-coding RNA. RefSeq lists it as uncharacterized. The record is from RefSeq and is a predicted model, not a curated record. Lineage: Eukaryota; Metazoa; Chordata; Actinopteri; Salmoniformes; Salmonidae. The transcript has 3 exons.